ACAGGGAUUGCCCUAGUAACGGCGAGUGAAGCGGCAACAGCUCAAAUUUGAAAUCUGGCUCUUUUAGAGUCCGAGUUGUAAUUUGCAGAGGGCGCUUUGGCUUUGGCAGCGGUCCAAGUUCCUUGGAACAGGACGUCACAGAGGGUGAGAAUCCCGUACGUGGUCGCUGGCUAUUGCCGUGUAAAGCCCCUUCGACGAGUCGAGUUGUUUGGGAAUGCAGCUCUAAAUGGGAGGUACAAUUCUUCUAAAGCUAAAUAUUGGCCAGAGACCGAUAGCGCACAAGUAGAGUGAUCGAAAGAUGAAAAGCACUUUGGAAAGAGAGUCAAACAGCACGUGAAAUUGUUGAAAGGGAAGCGCUUGCAGCCAGACUUGCUUGCAGUUGCUCAUCCGGGCUUUUGCCCGGUGCACUCUUCUGUAGGCAGGCCAGCAUCAGUUCGGGCGGAAAGAUAAAGGUCUCUGUCACGUACCUCCUUUCGGGGAGGCCUUAUAGGGGAGACGACAUAUUUCCAGCCUGGACUGAGGUCCGCGCAUCUGCUAGGAUGCUGGCGUAAUGGCUGUAAGCGGCCCGUCUUGAAACACGGACCAAGGAGUCUAACAUCUAUGCGAGUGUUUGGGUGUCAAGCCCGAGCGCGUAAUGAAAGUGAACGGAGGUGGGAACCCGCAAGGGUGCACCAUCGACCGAUCCUGAUGUCUUCGGAAGGAUUUGAGUAAGAGCAUGGCUGUUGGGACCCGAAAGAUGGUGAACUAUGCUUGAAUAGGGUGAAGCCAGAGGAAACUCUGGUGGAGGCUCGCAGCGGUUCUGACGUGCAAAUCGAUCGUCAAAUUUGGGCAUAGGGGCGAAAGACUAAU
RNAcentral lists this ribosomal RNA (849 nucleotides) under Alternaria proteae. Its description in RNAcentral is "eukaryotic LSU rRNA". It matches the Rfam family "Eukaryotic large subunit ribosomal RNA", at positions 68 to 935 of the family's 3401-position model. Lineage: Eukaryota; Fungi; Ascomycota; Dothideomycetes; Pleosporales; Pleosporaceae. RNAcentral also lists the same sequence under 2 other names. The record is from RNAcentral.